This 74-nucleotide transfer RNA is filed under the name Planctomycetota bacterium. RNAcentral describes it as "Planctomycetes bacterium (activated sludge metagenome) tRNA-His". It matches the Rfam family "tRNA". Rfam says of the family: Transfer RNA (tRNA) molecules are approximately 80 nucleotides in length. Their secondary structure includes four short double-helical elements and three loops (D, anti-codon, and T loops). The record is from RNAcentral. Lineage: Bacteria; Pseudomonadati; Planctomycetota.
GCAGCCAUAGCUCAGUUGGUUAGAGCGCCUGAUUGUGGAUCAGGAGGUCGCCGGUUCGAAUCCAGCUGGCUGUA